This 315-nucleotide ribosomal RNA is filed under the name uncultured bacterium. RNAcentral describes it as "bacterial SSU rRNA". It matches the Rfam family "Bacterial small subunit ribosomal RNA", at positions 28 to 334 of the family's 1533-position model. The record is from RNAcentral.
GAUGAACGCUAGCGGCAGGCCUAAUACAUGCAAGUCGGACGGGAUCCAUCUGCGAGCUUGCUCAAGGGUGGUGAGAGUGGCGCACGGGUGCGUAACGCGUGAGCAACCUGCCCAUAUCAGGGGGAUAGCCCGGAGAAAUCCGGAUUAACACCGCAUGAGAAUACAGAACGGCAUCGUUAAGUAUUUAAAUAUUUAUAGGAUAUGGAUGGGCUCGCGUGACAUUAGCUGGUUGGUGGGGUAACGGCCCACCAAGGCGACGAUGUCUAGGGGCUCUGAGAGGAGAAUCCCCCACACUGGUACUGAGACACGGACCAG